UCGCCCGUACUAAGUGGGAAUUCUGCUUGGACAUCAAAAACCUUAAACCCAAGUUAUUCCAGAUGAGUCCAUCAUUUAGAGACAUUAAAACUGAGCACUAAUCAAGCCCUCUCACACCAUUAACAUUUUUAACCAUUGGAUGUACUCUGGUGGGAGUUCUCGGCCGUUAGAUGUCCUUCCAAUUCCGCCUGGGCUAUUUCCGCGGAGCACCAAGCACGGCACUUUACUGGGCCGCUUCUCCGGUAACAAAUUCAGACGUAUGUCGUAAACUCGGCAAAUGGGUUUGGCCCAUGUCAUCUAUAAAAAUGAACAGACCGUACGCACACAUCUGGAAAAAGAAGUGCGUCGCUCCUCCUUCCGUGGUCAGAUCGGUUAUCUCUUCUCCUCGGCCGCCGCUCUUCCCCAGCCUACCAGCACUACUCCAGCCGCCUCCUCCACAUGUGUGCUGCUCCUUUACCAGUUGACAGUUGUGCGGCGGCGUCGCCUGGCCUUUUCCUUGGCCCAUUUGGCUGAGCUCUAUGCCUAGCCCGCCGGUCGCUCCCUCAUUCGAUGCCUCCUCUUCUCCUUUGGCGGCUAGUUCCUCCCCUGAUCUAACACCGAAGCCUUCCUUGCCCCCAAAUUCAUCCCCCCCUCUCUGUCUCCGAUGUCGACGAUGCCACCCGAGACUGCAGGAACGGCGCCACUAGCCGCCCUAGCUAGCUUCACCGCCGUCUAACCUACAGUCAUCCCGAUUCCACAGCGGCGAGGUAGCGAACCUGAGAGGGGGUGCAGAGGCGCACACGCGGUUCAUGCAGUACAGAUAUCAGGCCAACUCGAGCCUGGUCCUCAUCACUGACUCGCAGCCACGCGCGAUCCCGAGACGCUCUGGGGCCUUAUCGACAAGAAGAGCUCUGGGCACCAUGCCGUGCAGGCCAAGCCCCUGGUGCUCAAGGACAGGCUCACCAAGGCCCGGAAGGAGUCGGUAGCACGCUAGCAGAUGGAGAUGGGCGUGGAGGUAUCAGAGGACAGAGCAGAAAGAAUUCAUGUCCGCUACUAAGAUGUAUCAAACCACAUAUUGUGUAGUUCAGAUUGAAUAUUUUGUAUAUAACUAUUUCAUCGAUGUUCCAUGAAUAAAGGUUGAUUUUAUUACUCUCAAA
This is a long non-coding RNA of Aegilops tauschii subsp. strangulata, 1136 nucleotides long. RefSeq lists it as uncharacterized. The record is from RefSeq and is a predicted model, not a curated record. Lineage: Eukaryota; Viridiplantae; Streptophyta; Magnoliopsida; Poales; Poaceae.